This 242-nucleotide ribosomal RNA is filed under the name uncultured bacterium. Its description in RNAcentral is "partial 16S ribosomal RNA". It matches the Rfam family "Bacterial small subunit ribosomal RNA", at positions 92 to 334 of the family's 1533-position model. The record is from RNAcentral.
UAAGCGGCGGACGGGUGAGUAACGCGUGGGUAACCUACCCUGUACACACGGAUAACAUACCGAAAGGUAUGCUAAUACGGGAUAAUAUAUUUGAGAGGCAUCUCUUAAAUAUCAAAGGUGAGCCAGUACAGGAUGGACCCGCGUCUGAUUAGCUAGUUGGUAAGGUAACGGUUUACCAAGGCGACGAUCAGUAGCCGACCUGAGAGGGUGAUCGGCCACAUUGGAACUGAGACACGGUCCAA